UGUUUUCAAGCUGUUUAAAACAAAAAUAUGCUGAAAAAUGUUGAAAUUAUUAAAAUGAUUUUCAUUUUUUGAUAGCUGUUGACAGAAGAAGAACCACCAUUUUCUGAAAAAUAGUGGUUUCGUUU
Streptococcus pyogenes M1 GAS is the source of this 125-nucleotide small RNA. It matches the Rfam family "Streptococcus sRNA 34". Lineage: Bacteria; Bacillati; Bacillota; Bacilli; Lactobacillales; Streptococcaceae. The record is from Rfam.